UCCGGAGGGUGCAAGCGUUAUCCGGAAUCACUGGGCUUAAAGGGUGCGUAGGCGGCUUGAUAAGCCAGGGGUGAAAGCCCGCAGCUUAACUGCGGAACUGCCUUUGAUACUGUCGAGCUUGAAAGAGGUUGAGGUCAGCGGAACGUGACAUGUAGCGGUGAAAUGCAUAGAUAUGUCACAGAACACCGAUUGCGAAGGCAGCUGGCUGGACCUACUUUGACGCUGAGGCACGAAAGCGUGGGGAGCGAACAGG
Molecule: ribosomal RNA, 253 nt
Filed under: uncultured bacterium
Lineage: Bacteria
Description: partial 16S ribosomal RNA
Rfam family: Bacterial small subunit ribosomal RNA
Source: RNAcentral